GCCUGGGUGGCACAAUCGGUUAAGCGUCUGACUUUGACUCAGGUCGUGAUCUCACAGCUCGUGGGUUCGAGCCCCGCAUCGGGCU
This 85-nucleotide transfer RNA is filed under the name Felis catus (domestic cat). It matches the Rfam family "tRNA". From Rfam's summary of the family: Transfer RNA (tRNA) molecules are approximately 80 nucleotides in length. Their secondary structure includes four short double-helical elements and three loops (D, anti-codon, and T loops). Further hydrogen bonds mediate the characteristic L-shaped molecular structure. tRNAs have two regions of fundamental functional importance: the anti-codon, which is responsible for specific mRNA codon recognition, and the 3' end, to which the tRNAs corresponding amino acid is attached (by aminoacyl-tRNA synthetases). tRNAs cope with the degeneracy of the genetic code in two manners: having more than one tRNA (with a specific anti-codon) for a particular amino acid; and 'wobble' base-pairing, i.e. permitting non-standard base-pairing at the 3rd anti-codon position. The record is from Rfam by way of RNAcentral. Lineage: Eukaryota; Metazoa; Chordata; Mammalia; Carnivora; Felidae.